This 64-nucleotide transfer RNA is filed under the name Cavia porcellus (domestic guinea pig). It matches the Rfam family "tRNA", at positions 1 to 62 of the family's 71-position model. Rfam says of the family: Transfer RNA (tRNA) molecules are approximately 80 nucleotides in length. Lineage: Eukaryota; Metazoa; Chordata; Mammalia; Rodentia; Caviidae. The record is from Rfam by way of RNAcentral.
GGGGAUUUAGCUCAGCGCCAUAAGCAUCUGCCUUACAAGCAGGCAGUCGUGAGUUCAAUCCCCA